This 789-nucleotide ribosomal RNA is filed under the name uncultured bacterium. Its description in RNAcentral is "bacterial SSU rRNA". It matches the Rfam family "Bacterial small subunit ribosomal RNA", at positions 8 to 796 of the family's 1533-position model. The record is from RNAcentral.
AGAGUUUGAUCAUGGCUCAGGACGAACGCUGGCGGCGUGCUUAACACAUGCAAGUCGAACGGAAAGGCCCUUCGGGGUACUCGAGUGGCGAACGGGUGAGUAAUACAUCGGAACGUGCCCAGUAAUGGGGGAUAGCUCGGCGAAAGCCGGAUUAAUACCGCAUACGCCCUGAGGGGGAAAGUGGGGGACCGCAAGGCCUCACGUUAUUGGAGCGGCCGAUGGCUGAUUAGCUAGUUGGUAGGGUAAAGGCCUACCAAGGCGACGAUCAGUAGCUGGUCUGAGAGGACGAUCAGCCACACUGGGACUGAGACACGGCCCAGACUCCUACGGGAGGCAGCAGUGGGGAAUUUUGGACAAUGGGGGAAACCCUGAUCCAGCAAUGCCGCGUGUGCGAAGAAGGCCUUCGGGUUGUAAAGCACUUUUGUCAGGGAAGAAAUCCUUUGGGCUAAUACCCUAGGGGGAUGACGGUACCUGAAGAAUAAGCACCGGCUAACUACGUGCCAGCAGCCGCGGUAAUACGUAGGGUGCAAGCGUUAAUCGGAAUUACUGGGCGUAAAGCGUGCGCAGGCGGUUGUGUAAGACAGGUGUGAAAUCCCCGGGCUUAACCUGGGAAUUGCAUUUGUGACUGCACGACUAGAGUGUGUCAGAGGGGGGUGGAAUUCCACGUGUAGCAGUGAAAUGCGUAGAUAUGUGGAGGAACACCAAUGGCGAAGGCAGCCCCCUGGGAUAACACUGACGCUCAUGCACGAAAGCGUGGGGAGCAAACAGGAUUAGAUACCCCGGUAGUCC